CAACUUGUGAAAGCCACUGAUGGUACAAACAAGGAUUCAUGGCAGACUACAACCCAAAAAGGUGUAUUGCCAACAGGAUGGGGUUGAAAAAACAAGGCUCUAGGGACUGAGAGGGUGGUACGGCUUGUGACAAUACUCCAUGCAACUCCUCCGCUGAGAAGUCUUUCAGUCCGAGGAACCGCUCCGCCACAGCCAUAUCUCUCUUUCCUCUUUCUCUCUUUCUUUCUCUCUUCUUUCAGAGGACCUGAGCCCUAGGACCAUGCCUCAGUACUACCUGGCCUGAGGACUCCUUGCUGUCCCCAGUCCACCUGGUCAUGCUGCUGCUCCAGUUUCAACUGUUCUGCCUGCGGCUAUGGAACCCUGACCUGUUCACUGGACAUGCUACCUUGUCCCGGACCUGCUGUUUUGGACUCUCUCUCUACCACACCUGCUGUCUCUAACUCAGAAUGAUCGACUAUGAAAACCCAACUGACAUUUACUCCUGAGGUGCUGACCUGUUGCACCCUCUACAACCACUGUGAUUAUUAUUAUCUGACCCUACUGGUCAUCUAUGAACAUUUGAACAUCUUGUCCAUGUUCUGUUAUAAUCUCCACCCGGCCCAGCCAGAAGAGGUGUUACGGCUGAUUUCCUCCUCUUCAUCUGAAGAGGAGGUGUAGCAGGGAUCGGAAAAGAGCUUUAUAAAGAGCUUUAUAAAAUACAUUUGAUUGAUUGAUUGAUCGGGCUUUUUGCCUCUGCCUUGCUUAUUGAAACUACAACAUCAACAUCCCCACUACUAAGUUCUUGUUUAGCCAGUACAUCAACUGCCUCGUAACCCUUCACCCCCACGUGGGCUGGGACCCAAGUUAAUCAUAUCGGUAUACCCAUCUAUCUAAUCCUGCCAUGGGUUUAUAGUACAUCAUAAAACAGGUCUUGUUUGCUGCGUGAGCUAAAGGACGGCAGACUCAUGAAUCAGAACAAAUAACUACUCUGUCUGGCUUGACUUCCUCCACCCACUGCAAGGUCAACAGUACGGCCGUCAGCCCUGCUGUAUAUACAGCCAGAUGAUCUGUAAUAUGUUUCCUGACUGAUACCCCACAUUCCUACACAACAAAUGCAACGACCCCAGUACAUCCUGUC
Long non-coding RNA from Oncorhynchus tshawytscha (Chinook salmon), 1117 nucleotides. The record is from Ensembl. Lineage: Eukaryota; Metazoa; Chordata; Actinopteri; Salmoniformes; Salmonidae.